This 74-nucleotide transfer RNA is filed under the name Limosilactobacillus equigenerosi DSM 18793 = JCM 14505. RNAcentral's name for it is "Lactobacillus equigenerosi DSM 18793 = JCM 14505 tRNA". It matches the Rfam family "tRNA". From Rfam's summary of the family: Transfer RNA (tRNA) molecules are approximately 80 nucleotides in length. Their secondary structure includes four short double-helical elements and three loops (D, anti-codon, and T loops). Further hydrogen bonds mediate the characteristic L-shaped molecular structure. tRNAs have two regions of fundamental functional importance: the anti-codon, which is responsible for specific mRNA codon recognition, and the 3' end, to which the tRNAs corresponding amino acid is attached (by aminoacyl-tRNA synthetases). tRNAs cope with the degeneracy of the genetic code in two manners: having more than one tRNA (with a specific anti-codon) for a particular amino acid; and 'wobble' base-pairing, i.e. permitting non-standard base-pairing at the 3rd anti-codon position. The record is from Rfam by way of RNAcentral. Lineage: Bacteria; Bacillati; Bacillota; Bacilli; Lactobacillales; Lactobacillaceae.
GCCAUCUUAGCUCAGCUAGGUAGAGCGUGUCCAUGGUAAGGAUGAGGUCGGCGGUUCGAGUCCGCCAGGUGGCU